CGAACGGAACCUUUCGAGGUUUAGUGGCGGACGGGUGAGUAACGCGUGAGGAUCUGCCCUCAGGAUGGGGACAACAGUUGGAAACGGCUGCUAAGACCCGAUGUGCCGGGAGGUGAAAUAUUAAUAGCCUGAGGAUGAGCUCGCGUCCGAUUAGCUAGUUGGAGUGGUAAUGGCACCCCAAGGCGACGAUCGGUAGCUGGUCUGAGAGGAUGACCAGCCACACUGGAACUGAGACACGGUCCAGACUCCUACGGGAGGCAGCAGUGGGGAAUUUUCCGCAAUGGGCGAAAGCCUGACGGAGCAAGACCGCGUGGGGGAGGAAGGUCUGUGGAUUGUAAACCCCUUUUGUCAAGGAAGAAUACAAUGACGGUACUUGACGAAUCAGCAUCGGCUAACUCCGUGCCAGCAGCCGCGGUAAUACGGAGGAUGCAAGCGUUAUCCGGAAUGAUUGGGCGUAAAGCGUCCGCAGGUGGUUAUACAAGUCUGCUGUUAAAGUGCGGAGCUUAACUUCGUAAAGGCAGUGGAAACUGUGUGACUAGAGAGUGAUAGGGGCAGAGGGAAUUCCCAGUGUAGCGGUGAAAUGCGUAGAGAUUGGGAAGAACACCGGUGGCGAAAGCGCUCUGCUGGGUCAUAUCUGACACUGAGGGACGAAAGCUAGGGGAGCGAAAGGGAUUAGAUACCCCUGUAGUCCUAGCCGUAAACGAUGGAUACUAGGCGUUGUUCGUAUCGACCCGAGCCGUGCCG
This 744-nucleotide ribosomal RNA is filed under the name uncultured cyanobacterium. RNAcentral describes it as "bacterial SSU rRNA". It matches the Rfam family "Bacterial small subunit ribosomal RNA", at positions 63 to 848 of the family's 1533-position model. The record is from RNAcentral. Lineage: Bacteria; Bacillati; Cyanobacteriota.